RNAcentral lists this ribosomal RNA (879 nucleotides) under uncultured marine group I thaumarchaeote. Its description in RNAcentral is "bacterial SSU rRNA". It matches the Rfam family "Archaeal small subunit ribosomal RNA", at positions 1 to 887 of the family's 1478-position model. The record is from RNAcentral. Lineage: Archaea; Thermoproteati; Nitrososphaerota.
UUCCGGUUGAUCCUGCCAGACCUGACUGCUAUCGGAUUGAUACUAAGCCAUGCGAGUCAUUGUAGCAAUACAAGGCAGACGGCUCAGUAACGCGUAGUCAACCUAACCUAUGGACGGGAAUAACCUCGGGAAACUGAGAAUAAUGCCCGAUAGAACACUAUACCUGGAAUGGUUUGUGUUCCAAAUGAUUUAUCGCCGUAGGAUGGGACUGCGGCCUAUCAGUUUGUUGGUGAGGUAAUGGCCCACCAAGACUAUUACAGGUACGGGCUCUGAGAGGAGUAGCCCGGAGAUGGGUACUGAGACACGGACCCAGGCCCUAUGGGGCGCAGCAGGCGAGAAAACUUUGCAAUGUGCGAAAGCACGACAAGGUUAAUCCGAGUGGUUUCUGCUAAAGGAACCUUUUGUUAGUCCUAGAAACACUAACGAAUAAGGGGUGGGCAAGUUCUGGUGUCAGCCGCCGCGGUAAAACCAGCACCUCAAGUGGUCAGGAUGAUUAUUGGGCCUAAAGCAUCCGUAGCCGGCUCUGUAAGUUUUCGGUUAAAUCUGUACGCUCAACGUACAGGCUGCCGGGAAUACUGCAGAGCUAGGGAGUGGGAGAGGUAGACGGUACUCGGUAGGAAGGGGUAAAAUCCUUUGAUCUAUUGAUGACCACCUGUGGCGAAGGCGGUCUACCAGAACACGUCCGACGGUGAGGGAUGAAAGCUGGGGGAGCAAACCGGAUUAGAUACCCGGGUAGUCCCAGCUGUAAACUAUGCAAACUCAGUGAUGCAUUGACUUGUGGUCAAUGCAGUGCUGCAGGGAAGCCGUUAAGUUUGCCGCCUGGGAAGUACGUACGCAAGUAUGAAACUUAAAGGAAUUGGCGGGGGAGCACCACAAGGG